UGGGGAAUAUUGCACAAUGGGCGGAAGCCUGAUGCAGCGACGCCGCGUGGGGGAUGAAGGCCUUCGGGUUGUAAACUCCUUUCAGCAGGGACGAAGCUUUUGUGACGGUACCUGCAGAAGAAGCACCGGCUAACUACGUGCCAGCAGCCGCGGUAAUACGUAGGGUGCGAGCGUUGUCCGGAAUUAUUGGGCGUAAAGAGCUUGUAGGCGGUUUGUCGCGUCUGCCGUGAAAGCCCAGGGCUUAACCCUGGGUUUGCGGUGGGUACGGGCAGGCUAGAGUAUGGUAGGGGAGACUGGAAUUCCUGGUGUAGCGGUGAAAUGCGCAGAUAUCAGGAGGAACACCGAUGGCGAAGGCAGGUCUCUGGGCCAUUACUGACGCUGAGAAGCGAAAGCAUGGGGAGCGAAC
RNAcentral lists this ribosomal RNA (406 nucleotides) under uncultured Flexivirga sp. Its description in RNAcentral is "bacterial SSU rRNA". It matches the Rfam family "Bacterial small subunit ribosomal RNA", at positions 355 to 773 of the family's 1533-position model. The record is from RNAcentral. Lineage: Bacteria; Bacillati; Actinomycetota; Actinomycetes; Micrococcales; Dermacoccaceae.